AAACCAACCGGGAUUGCCUUAGUAACGGCGAGUGAAGCGGCAAAAGCUCAAAUUUGAAAUCUGGUACCUUCGGUGCCCGAGUUGUAAUUUGUAGAAGGUAACUUUGGGGCUGGUCCUUGUCUAUGUUCCUUGGAACAGGACGUCAUAGAGGGUGAGAAUCCCGUGUGGCGAGGAUCCCAGUCCUAUGUAAAGUGCUUUCGAAGAGUCGAGUUGUUUGGGAAUGCAGCUCUAAGUGGGUGGUAAAUUCCAUCUAAAGCUAAAUAUUGGCGAGAGACCGAUAGCGAACAAGUACAGUGAUGGAAAGAUGAAAAGAACUUUGAAAAGAGAGUGAAAAAGUACGUGAAAUUGUUGAAAGGGAAGGGCAUUUGAUCAGACAUGGUGUUUUGCGCCCUCUGCUCCUUGUGGGUGGGGGAAUCUCGCAGCUCACUGGGCCAGCAUCAGUUUUGGCGGUAGGAUAAAUCUGCAGGAAUGUAGCUUGCUUCGGCAAGUGUUAUAGCCUGUUGAAAUACUGCCAGCCGGGACUGAGGACUGCGACUUUUAGUCAAGGAUGCUGGCAUAAUGGUUAUAUGCCGC
Molecule: ribosomal RNA, 573 nt
Filed under: Torulaspora globosa
Lineage: Eukaryota; Fungi; Ascomycota; Saccharomycetes; Saccharomycetales; Saccharomycetaceae
Description: eukaryotic LSU rRNA
Rfam family: Eukaryotic large subunit ribosomal RNA
Source: RNAcentral